Molecule: transfer RNA, 63 nt
Filed under: Amynthas sp. 2 LZ-2016
Lineage: Eukaryota; Metazoa; Annelida; Clitellata; Crassiclitellata; Megascolecidae
Description: tRNA-Met
Source: RNAcentral
AGUAGGAUAAGCUAUUCAAGCUAGCGGGUUCAUACCCCGAAAAAGAGGCCUCCUCUCCUACUA